RNAcentral lists this ribosomal RNA (497 nucleotides) under uncultured bacterium. Its description in RNAcentral is "partial 16S ribosomal RNA". It matches the Rfam family "Bacterial small subunit ribosomal RNA", at positions 28 to 507 of the family's 1533-position model. The record is from RNAcentral.
GAUGAACGCUGGCGGCGUGCCUAAUACAUGCAAGUCGAGCGAACAGAUGAGGAGCUUGCUCCUCGGACGUUAGCGGCGGACGGGUGAGUAACACGUGGAUAACCUACCUUUAAGACUGGGAUAACUUCGGGAAACUGGAUCUAAUACCGGAUAAUAUCUUGGACCGCAUUGUUCAGUAGUGAAGGACGGUUUUGUUGUCAAUUAUGGAUGGAUGCGCGCCGCAUUAGCUAGUUGGUAAGUUAACUGCUUACCAAGGCAACGAUGCGUAGCCGACCUGAGAGGGUGGUUGGCCACACUGGUACUGAGACAGGGUCCAGACUCCUACGGGAGGCAGCAGUAGGGAAUGAACCGCGAUGAGCGGAAGCCAGACGGAGGAACGGAGGGUGAGUGAUGAAGGUCUUCGGAUCGGAAGACUCUGUUAUUAGGGAAGAACGAAUGUGUAAGUAACUAUGCACGGCUGAAGGGAACUUAGUCAGAAAGCCACGGCUAACUACGUG